CGGAGAUUGGGAAGGUGGGAGGUAGGACGUGAUCCCCCUUCGGAGCAAUCAGGACGGGGAAAGGUUUCAUUCCGUGCAGCCGAUGAUGACAGAAGGAAAAAAUAAAAGAAAAGGCAAAACGGUGCGAGUACAUCAGGCUGGCUGGUGGGAGAGGGACGGAAGGGUGCUUUGGCACUUGAACUACUGGAGACUGGAAGAAAGAGAAGGAAACUGCACAGAGGAAGAAUGGAUUUUUGUGGCGAAAGUGCUGUCCCGCAAAUCUUUCCAUGUGUCAAAGCCUGCCUGCUGCACAAGGCUGGUCACUUAACUUCACCUUUUCCCCAUGCACAGAAUGGGGGUAACAUUAGCUUGCCUGGUGGGCACG
Long non-coding RNA from Struthio camelus australis, 364 nucleotides. RefSeq lists it as uncharacterized. The record is from RefSeq and is a predicted model, not a curated record. NCBI's taxonomy places the organism in Eukaryota, Metazoa, Chordata, Aves, Struthioniformes, Struthionidae.